Molecule: non-coding RNA, 426 nt
Organism: Pelobates cultripes (western spadefoot toad)
Lineage: Eukaryota; Metazoa; Chordata; Amphibia; Anura; Pelobatidae
Source: the annotation of a GenBank genome assembly
AUAGCCGGGUGCGUGUGCGCCAUUUUACUGGGGAAUAGAUUGCAGCAGGAUGCACUUUGGGAAGAAGGUAGGCUGGUGGAGGCAGUGUUAUGCUCUGGGCACUGUUCUGCUGGAAAAUCUUGGGUUCUGACAUACAUGUGGAUGUCCAUUUCAACGCACACCACCUACUUAGAGAUUGUUGCAUGUCACAUACACCCCUGAUAGCAGUGGCCUCUUUCAGCAGGAUAAUGCACCCUGUCAUACUAGAAAAAAUGGUUCAGGAAUAGUUUGAGGAACAUAACAAAGAGUUAAAGAUGUCGCUUAGGUCUCCAAAUCCACCAGAUCUUAAUUGAGCAUCUGUGGGAUGUGCUGGAACAAUUCUGACCCACAGAGGCCUCACCUCGCAACUUUUAGGAAUUCAAGGAGGAUAGGAUGUGGGGUAAAGUG